CUGAGGUGUCCACUUCCGGGCAGGUGCCCCCUCCUCACAGUGCAGGAGCUGGUGGUGGGAAGGGGGCAGGUUUUGAGCUGGGGGCUCCAUUUGUUUUCUUCCUUGGGCAGCCAAAAUGUUAGAGAUGGUCUUCCCUGGGGCCUCAACGAUUCCCAUCUGCCCUUGUCCCUUGUGUCUCUGUCACUCUCUCUGUGCUCUCCUUUCCUGAUCUCUCCCCGCAUCUUUAUCCCUCCUCCCCACCCGCCCCUCCCCACCCCUGUUGCUUUGUGCCUCUCCUCCAGGCUGCCGCUGUUCCAGGCCAGUGCCUUUGCAUUUCUGGUUCCAGCCAAAGCCAUACUGGCUCUGGAGAGAUGGAAAUGCCCCCCGGAAGAGGAGAUCUACGGUAACUGGAGUCUGCCCCUGAACACCUCUCAUAUCUGGC
RNAcentral lists this long non-coding RNA (421 nucleotides) under Pan troglodytes (chimpanzee). RNAcentral describes it as "long non-coding RNA NONPTRT014253". The record is from RNAcentral. Lineage: Eukaryota; Metazoa; Chordata; Mammalia; Primates; Hominidae.